Transfer RNA from Loxodonta africana (African savanna elephant), 72 nucleotides. It matches the Rfam family "tRNA". Rfam says of the family: Transfer RNA (tRNA) molecules are approximately 80 nucleotides in length. Their secondary structure includes four short double-helical elements and three loops (D, anti-codon, and T loops). Further hydrogen bonds mediate the characteristic L-shaped molecular structure. tRNAs have two regions of fundamental functional importance: the anti-codon, which is responsible for specific mRNA codon recognition, and the 3' end, to which the tRNAs corresponding amino acid is attached (by aminoacyl-tRNA synthetases). tRNAs cope with the degeneracy of the genetic code in two manners: having more than one tRNA (with a specific anti-codon) for a particular amino acid; and 'wobble' base-pairing, i.e. permitting non-standard base-pairing at the 3rd anti-codon position. The record is from Rfam. NCBI's taxonomy places the organism in Eukaryota, Metazoa, Chordata, Mammalia, Proboscidea, Elephantidae.
CCCUGGGUGGCAAACGGUUAAUGCAUUCGGCUGCUAACUGAAAGGCUGGAGGUUCGAGUCCACCCAGAGGUA